UGAUCUUAGCGGCGGACGGGUGAGUAACACGUGGGCAACCUGCCCUGCAGACUGGGAUAACUCCGGGAAACCGGAGCUAAUACCGGGUAAUACAUCGCACCGCAUGGUGCAAUGUUGAAAGUUGGCUUUCUGAGCUAACACUGCAGGAUGGGCCCGCGGCGCAUUAGCUAGUUGGUAAGGUAAUGGCUUACCAAGGCGACGAUGCGUAGCCGACCUGAGAGGGUGAUCGGCCACACUGGGACUGAGACACGGCCCAGACUCCUACGGGAGGCAGCAGUAGGGAAUCUUCCGCAAUGGACGAAAGUCUGACGGAGCAACGCCGCGUGAGUGACGAAGGCCUUCGGGUCGUAAAGCUCUGUUGUUAGGGAAGAACAAGUACCGUUCGAAUAGGGCGGUACCUUGACGGUACCUAACCAGAAAGCCACGGCUAACUACGUGCCAGCAGCCGCGGUAAUACGUAGGUGGCAAGCGUUGUCCGGAAUUAUUGGGCGUAAAGCGCGCGCAGGCGGUCUUUUAAGUCUGAUGUGAAAGCCCACGGCUCAACCGUGGAGGGUCAUUGGAAACUGGAGGACUUGAGUGCAGAAGAGGAGAGUGGAAUUCCACGUGUAGCGGUGAAAUGCGUAGAUAUGUGGAGGAACACCAGUGGCGAAGGCGGCUCUCUGGUCUGUAACUGACGCUGAGGCGCGAAAGCGUG
RNAcentral lists this ribosomal RNA (694 nucleotides) under Guptibacillus hwajinpoensis. RNAcentral's name for it is "bacterial SSU rRNA". It matches the Rfam family "Bacterial small subunit ribosomal RNA", at positions 87 to 763 of the family's 1533-position model. Lineage: Bacteria; Bacillati; Bacillota; Bacilli; Caryophanales; Guptibacillaceae. The record is from RNAcentral.